UGCCUGUCUGUCUGGUCCAGGGAAUUAGGCACAGCGUGCAGUGCGCCAGGCGGGGCGGAGGGGCUGGAAGGAGCGGGAAUGGGAAUUCAGCACCUGCGUCUGGGUAGUGGCUUGGUUCUGCCACCAGCUAAAUAGGCAAAGGAGGGAAGGAAGCAGAAGAUGACAUCACAGGAGGGAGUAUUUGGACCUUACCAUUUGGAUACAAGACUUGAUGCAAAGGACACUUUACCCCCAAGGAAGAUUUGAAUUAAAACACUUAAUUCAGUGGAUAAGCAACAGGUCCUGCUGUAUAGCACAAGGAACUCUAUCUAGUCACUUGUGAUGGAACA
Phacochoerus africanus (Common warthog) is the source of this 329-nucleotide long non-coding RNA. RefSeq lists it as uncharacterized. Lineage: Eukaryota; Metazoa; Chordata; Mammalia; Artiodactyla; Suidae. The record is from RefSeq and is a predicted model, not a curated record. The transcript has 3 exons.